AAAAAAAAAAAAGGCAGUUUUUAGGUGAAUGUCUGUCUCCUACUUUUUUUUAAACUUGGUAAUAAAAAUAAUUUUUUGAAAAUUAAAAACUAAUAGAACUCUUUAUCCCGUUUUUCUCUUUGAAACUUGAGUAAUUACGUAUAAGUUGUGAAUAAUUUCUGUCCUCAAAGUAUUUUUUUUAUGUCACUCAGUUUUAAUUUCAAAUUUUACAUUUGUUAAUGACCCAUUUUUACUAUAUCUAAAGAUUGCCAUCUACUGGCAUAUCAUAGCUUUGGGGUCUGUUAUUUUGGGGUCUGUUAAUGUUCAUAAAUUGAAAUUUCAAUGAAGUUAUUUUCUCAGCUGAUUUUGCAAUUGCAUUUUAUUUCAUAGGAUAAGAGAAUAGUUAGGGAAAUGUUAACAGCACUUUAUCAUGCCAAAGUACACUGCAGUGUGUGGUUAAUUAAAAGCCUAUUAGAACAAAAUACUGGCAUGUGAAUGAACUUCAUAUUCUUCCAAUUUAAGCCAUGUUUCAUAUUUCUGUAAGAAGAGAAGGGCACGUUUACGUAAGUUUCAAAUGCUUAAAGAAACAGAACAUUUGUAGUGAUUCUGUCCUCCUGGCAUGUAGUGGCUUGGUGGCUCAAUAAAUUAAUUAGGGGUAGAAUUUAAUAAUGGAAAUUCCAAAAUUGUGGGAGACUCCUUUUACUCCUCAAGCAAAUUUUUGAUUAAUUCUAACAUUCCUUAGGCUUCUAGAUCCUCCUACAUCCCAGCUUCAUAGAAUCAUAGAAUUGUUUGAGUUGGAAGGGACCUCUGCAGGUCAUCCAGCCCAACUUCCCUGCAGUGAACAGGGACAGCUUCCUCUUCAGGAUCUCUGAGCAGGAGCAGAAAAGCCCUGCCAUCAGGCUCAGUGUUAGUGCACACCUAGGGUGUCAUAAUCUCAGAAGUUUGUGGCAGCUGUGGGGUAGCUACUCCUGCAUUUAUUUCAGGUGUAUAGGCAGAAUGUGCCCCAGGUGUGCAGAGGGGAUGGGUCCUGUAGGCAGUGAUGUUUUUCUAAGGAGGCAGAGGGUGCUAGGAGCUAGUGUGUGCAGAGGGGAGCUGAGGAGCUGGUCUGUGCAUCUCAGGAAUGGGGACUCUCCUUACUGUUUGGGAAGGAAUGUCUUCCUGAUGACGAAAAUGCUGCAUGACCAAAGCUUCCACCAUAUCGGAUCUUCGCGUAUCCCAUAUCCCUGUUAUUCACCAUUCCCAUCCUGCUGUGUUUUGGGGACAGAGAGGUAUCACAACAUUUGA
RNAcentral lists this long non-coding RNA (1263 nucleotides) under Numida meleagris (helmeted guineafowl). RNAcentral describes it as "lncRNA (ENSNMEG00000015983.1)". Lineage: Eukaryota; Metazoa; Chordata; Aves; Galliformes; Numididae. The record is from RNAcentral.